GUUAGUUACAACUGGAGUUGGAGUGGAAAACCUACAGGAGGGCAGCUCUAAAAGAACAGUUGGAGAGCCCUGGUCUAGGGUCGAUUUAGAAUACAUAUCCAGUGUUAUUCACUGCAUCAGCCAACAAAAUACUGUUUUUUUUCAGCGUUUGCCUCCUUCUGUUGAAGACAGAGGUGAGCUCACCAGCGUCUUCUUGCUGCAUGUUGGAAUGGUUGGGACCGACCCAGACGUCACGUUUAGUCUGAGAUUAGAGGCUAUAAGAACGAUUAACUCGAUCCUCGAC
Oncorhynchus tshawytscha (Chinook salmon) is the source of this 283-nucleotide RNA transcript. RefSeq lists it as uncharacterized. NCBI's taxonomy places the organism in Eukaryota, Metazoa, Chordata, Actinopteri, Salmoniformes, Salmonidae. The record is from RefSeq and is a predicted model, not a curated record. The transcript is spliced from 3 exons.